RNAcentral lists this long non-coding RNA (2847 nucleotides) under Homo sapiens (human). RNAcentral describes it as "HSALNT0377073". The record is from RNAcentral. Lineage: Eukaryota; Metazoa; Chordata; Mammalia; Primates; Hominidae.
ACGAUUGUCUCAUUUAGAGGGACUCUCUAACCUGAGUACACAUUUGAAACAUCUGAGGGCUUUGAAACAUACCUGCUCCUGGACCACCUGCUGAACCAAUUAAAUCAGAAUUUCUGUUGUGAAGAUCUCCACGUGAGUUUAAGCUUUCCUGCUCAACUGUUAGUUCCAUGAAGGCAACAGCCAUGCCUGCUUCGUUCACUGAAAUAUCUUCGUUUCCUAACACACAGAAAGUCAUCAUUUUUUGACGGAUGAAAGAAUGGAUGAAUGCCUAGUCUUGGAGACAUCUACUUGCAAUAAAGGUUAGAUGAAGGAAAUGGAUGCCAGUGGGAGAUUUGUGGAUCUAUUUCACCAGAUUUCACUCUGCUGACUCAGCAAAAUGGUCCCCGAAGAAAGUGAAGAAACAGAGGCAAAGGGAGCAUAAGCAAUUUUCCAAAGGCCAUACAACAUGUAAGUGGCUGAGCCAAGACUGAAAUCACCAGGUUCUUAACCACUAGGCCAUAUUGCAUUGGAGUGUUGCCUCCUGGAGUAAGACUAGGCUAAAAGCUUCAUAGAAACCUAAAGGAGUUAGAGAAGGAAGAUCUCUCAAUGGAAAUGCUAAGAAGAGACACAAGGAAAGACACAUCACUAAGGAGAGACCCAAGGAAAAUGGCUCUAUGACUACAGUCCAUUUAAAGAAUGAGGGCGUUCCUUCUACCAAGUUACAGGUGGAGAUGUGUUUACCUGCUGGAUACCAAUGCUUCUAGCAUCAGGGAGAAGUUGAGCCCUGGAGGAAACAUUGCCUCUAAGUUUGUGUUCUGAUGGAGAUGAUGACUACUUCACAGGCACUUUGCAAGGUCUGAUGACAUUGACAAUACAUUGGACAAAGAGCAAAGGAAGAGGAGUCUGCAAAACAACAACAACAACAACAGAAAAAAACAAAAUAAAACAAAGGGUCAUCGGAAGAGUAACAGGAGAAAGAAGAGUUAAUGUGUGGUGGAAUCCUUGGGAAAGCAUGAGUCAAGAAGUAUAGUAUACACAAUUCAGAUAACCAAGGGGUUACUUCCAAAAGGAUGAAUGUAUUUGUAGGCAAGGCGCAUGGAAAUAAGCUUUCCUGAAAUCCCACGUAACCCACAAUAGCUCUCAAAAGCUUCAAAAAAUAGUGAUGAAAAAGGUUAACUCUGAUGCUGUUCUGGAGCUGAAAGCAGAUUUUGACCUUGGAUAAACAUGCUGGAUUUUCGCUAUUGAAUGUAUUGGGCACAAUUCAAGGUGCUACAUACUGCAAAGCAAAGUAUCUACAACAACUGCAAUAAGCCACCCUGAUCAUUCUUCAACCUAAAGAUUUGCAACUCAUCCAAGUUCAACUGGUUGAAAGAGCCUGCCUCCUCACAGCAGUGCCUGAUUGACACUAUGAACUGAAAUACUAAAGGCACUUCUUCUUUCAGGAUAACUGAUUAAAUGUUCUGGCUGGUAAAGCAGGUCAUCACUCAACUGUUGUGGCUUUGGCAAGAUGCCACCAAAGCAGCCCAUCAUGGUUGGCAGAGAUGUAAAGGCCCCACAUAUUACAGAACACCCUUUGAUAUGCAGACUAAUUAAUAGAAGACCUAAGCCUUUCAAGGGACUUCUAUACCAUAGGAUGUUAGGAGACAUCAAGAACACAAAUGAAACUAAGAUUUUCAUACAGGGUUCAGGUUUUGUUACUUCAGAUCUAUAAUCUAAAGUUCUGUAAUCAUCACAUCACUCCAAGAACAAAAUUUGAUAGGCAAAAUUCUUCACACUCAUUUCAUGGAGAACCUUGAGGGUCCAGAGUGAGGCUUGAUGGCAAGCAGGAGCUCCCUGUCCCCUGUCUCCACCCAUGCAACCCCUAGCUCCCCCAUUGUUUUCACUCUAGAUUUGUGAAGUAUAACAACCUUAAAAUCUUAAGAUUUAAUCUUUAAAUAUUAAGAGAUUUGGGUUUCUGUAUCAACAAUCUUUAAAUAUUAAGAGAUUUUUCCGAAGAUUAAUGACUUUCCUAGAGUUGGCCUACAAAUUCACCACCUCAACUGGAUGACUUGCUUUGGAAUAAAUUUCUAACACCGCAAGUGAAUUGAAUAUUUUCUUCCUUUUUUAUGUAAUCUAAUAUAGUACAUUUUUAAAAAUUUAUAGGAUGUCCAGACACUUAUAGCUUAUCAUUCUAUGAUUCAAAAGAAUUUGGUAUAAUUGCAUUGAUAAGCUUACUGCCCUGGGCACCAAAGUAACCUAGAAUAUGGAGAAGUAGCUUUUGGUGACAUGCAUCUAUUUAUAUCUCUAGCAUUUACUAAUUAAUUAAUUUGUUUAACAAAUACACAUUCAGUACCAUUAUAUGUUUGGCAUUGUCAUAGAUGUUAGAAAAUCAAAUAUAAAAAAGAGGUAAUUUCUUCACAACACACGGAAAUAAGAGUAUCUCUAGGAAUUGUCUCUAGUUGAAAUUGUUUUCUCCUACCCACCUCUACGAUUCAUCAAUUUAGCUUUCCUUCACUGUAGUGACAGGUGUUUUAAUCUCACCUAACAAUAUGCCUGAUUAAGCUUCAACAUACACAGAGAGAGGCCUGAAAAACAUAACUUGGUCUCUAUGUCUAAGUUUAUGUUGUUAGUAAUAGUUAUAAGAGCCACAGCGAUGGCACCAUGGCGUUACCUUCUCUGAAGGCUUUCCCAGCUUUCCUAGCAAAGCUCUUUUCUCUUCCCUCUGGUUAAAAAAUAAAUAAAAAAAAAAUAAAGGUUUUUCCUUUAUUGUUAUUCUUAUGUGUCUGAUUUUAUCACAUUUAUUGUUUUGUUUUCUGAUUGUAUAAGUCAUACAUGCUCAUUUAGAAAACUUGGAAACUAUGGAAAAAGAGAAAUAAAAAAUAAAAUCCA